AGUGAACGCUGGCGGUAGGCCUAACACAUGCAAGUCGAACGGCAGCACAGUAAGAGCUUGCUCUUACGGGUGGCGAGUGGCGGACGGGUGAGGAAUACAUCGGAAUCUACUUUUUCGUGGGGGAUAACGAAGGGAAACUUACGCUAAUACCGCAUACGACCUACGGGUGAAAGCAGGGGAUCUUCGGACCUUGCGCGAUUAAAUGAGCCGAUGUCGGAUUAGCUAGUUGGCGGGGUAAAGGCCCACCAAGGCGACGAUCCGUCGCUGGUCUGAGAGGAUGAUCAGCCACACUGGAACUGAGACACGGUCCAGACUCCUACGGGAGGCAGCAGUGGGGAAUAUUGGACAAUGGGCGCAAGCCUGAUCCAGCCAUACCGCGUGGGUGAAGAAGGCCUUCGGGUUGUAAAGCCCUUUUGUUGUUAAAGAAAAGCAGCAGGUUAAUACCCCGCUGUUCUGACGGUACCCAAAGAAUAAGCACCGGCUAACUUCGUG
This 492-nucleotide ribosomal RNA is filed under the name uncultured bacterium. RNAcentral's name for it is "partial 16S ribosomal RNA". It matches the Rfam family "Bacterial small subunit ribosomal RNA", at positions 29 to 507 of the family's 1533-position model. The record is from RNAcentral.